UACGGAAGGGGCAAGCGUUGUUCGGAAUCAUUGGGCGUAAAGGGCGCGUAGGUGGUUCUGUAUGUCUACCGUGAAAGCAUACAGCUCAACUGUAUUUUGUCGGUAGAAACUGCAGGACUUGAGGCUGGGAGGGGCUGGUGGAAUUCUCCGUGUAGCGGUGAAAUGCGUAGAGAUGGGGGAGAACACUCGUGGCGAAGGCGGCCAGCUAGACCAGUUCUGACACUGAGGCGCGACAGCGUGGGGAGCAAACAGG
This 253-nucleotide ribosomal RNA is filed under the name uncultured bacterium. RNAcentral's name for it is "partial 16S ribosomal RNA". It matches the Rfam family "Bacterial small subunit ribosomal RNA", at positions 524 to 776 of the family's 1533-position model. The record is from RNAcentral.